AUUCUAUGUUUUUUAUCUGUGAACACUUGCGUGGGCGGAGCCGAGCGGUUUGCUCAGGGGUCACCGCUGAGCUUUUGGCAGAUGAACCGCAUCUUUUUGGAGCAGUGCAGGUCGUUGAGGCGUCCGUUCCAGUCCAGAGAAACUCAAACUGCGGGUUUACCUGUGGUCCAUGGAGAACGGAGUCUGGUCCACCCACUCCCACGUUCCAGUUCUCCAAUCACUCAGACCCACCCAGAAAAAAUUUGGAACUGUGUGACGGGUCACGAAGUCCUGGACAGAGACCAAGUUUCUAUAACCAACCAUUUAAAGUCUGUCUUUACGCAGAUGACACCGUAGUCUUUGUGAGUUUCUUCAGUAGAGACCAGGUCGUCUUACUGUCUCACCUACAUGACUUCAAAACCAGCCUGUGACACAUGGACUUACCCAGUCCCUGUCCGAGGAGAGUAUGACCAGGUGAGAUUCAUGGUCCUCACACCAGGCUCUGGAAUCAUUCCAGGACAAAGCUGAACGGCUGAAGAAAUAACAACUCAAGCCAGAGAGUUUCCAAUCAGGAGGACAACAACCGUCCAACCCUGAGCCUGCGAGACAGACAGAUCCACAGACAGGUUCACAGACAGGUAC
This is a long non-coding RNA of Pleuronectes platessa (European plaice), 621 nucleotides long. RefSeq lists it as uncharacterized. The transcript has 3 exons. Lineage: Eukaryota; Metazoa; Chordata; Actinopteri; Pleuronectiformes; Pleuronectidae. The record is from RefSeq and is a predicted model, not a curated record.